GUUGGAACGUUUCUUAUUGGGAACAGGCAUGUUCCAUUGAGAACGCAUUAUCUCUUUCUCACUACUUUCUUUUUUGUGAAGCCGAUUCUGAUUCUGACUCCUCUCACUCAGACAUCUCUUCUCACUCUCUCUGGAAUUUCGGCGAAGAUACAGUCCUAUCGAAAGAGGAAGAAGUCUUCGGUGAUGCCGGCGGAGCAGAAGGAGAAGCAUAAGUAGCAUUUGAAGAAGAUGAAGAAGUUGUCGUCGUCUAGCAACAGGCACCGCGGUGAUGGAGGUGACGUUAGGGCAUCGGACAUACUGGUGAAGCACCAAUGUUCGAGACGCAAGGCGUCGUGGAAGGAUCUAGAACGCCAGGUCAUCAAAAAGACCACCAGAAACAGCGCUGCUUUUUAGGUAAAGGGCUUCUGUGACGACAUCGUUUCUGGCAAAGCCAAGUUUGAGGACAUCACCUUUCGCUUCUCCGAUUGUAGUUCUGCCAAGCACGCUGGUGAUCUUGGUCAGUCCCUCUCUUCGUAUAAUUUCAAAUUUAACCAGAAAAAUAUCUAUUUACUUAGUACAGGAAGUUAAAACCGUUGUUAACAUUUCCUAUUAUGUUUAGAUCUUGCUUGAGCAAUUAGGUAUCAUUAUCCAUUGUCGUUGUUCAAUCUGCAAUUUGUUAUUUGUUAUCAACUUCUCAAGAUAAUAAGGAAGUAUGAUUGAGUUUACGAAGUGAUAAAUUUGAUACUUAAAGGGGUAUUUUCAUUUACAGUGGCUUUUACUUUGUUUUUCAGCUCUGUUGGAGUUUCAGCUGAACUCUUCUACAUGAUUGAUAAAACUUUGUAGCUUUUAUUUUUUUUAGGCUGGGUCAAUCUUCAUAAAUUUGGUAGUUAAAUGUGUGUUUUCAUUUACAUUGGUAUCUUAUCGAUUCAGAUUUGAGUUGGAACUAUUUUAAAAUCCAAAGGGCACUGUGUUUGAAUUUGGAUCGCUUGAGUUGUUCGUUUGUUACCUUUUGCAUUGAUGCUUCUUUUUUUUUCUAAUUGUUAGUUAAUUAUGUGUUUUCAGAACCAAUUUUACGCUUAUUAGUUUGUAUGAAUUCAUUAUUAACAUUAAUUAAAGCUAUGUUAGUAAAAUAUUCUAAGUUCUUAUUAUGAUUUGAUACAUGAUAAAUAGGUCACUCCCAAUUUGGAUUGCAGAAUAGUUCAUGUACUGCUAGAGGAUGGGAAUGAUCUUGAUACUAGCUGUGCCUUCUUUUUAACUUUGAAUACUUUCUUGUUUGCCUUUUUCUAGUGCUACAUUUUGGUCUUCAUCCCUUGAAUUUUCAGUAUAGUAUUCAAUUGGCCUUUAUCUCCAUUCCAAAAUGCCCUGAAUACUUACAAUGUUAAGGAAAUUAGAAACUGCUUUGAGAAUAAAUUUUGGACAUAUUUGCUUUUCAAUAUAGUAUUUUCCUUCUCAUUGUCUACAAACUAUUCGUUGCUCUCACUUUCGACUUAUGUCAAUGAUAGACUCAUAUGGAUCUAUUCUGCGGUGCAAGUGUUUUCAGUGUUUGAAGCCUAUUGAAAAACAUUCACUUAUUGGUGCCAAUGGGGAAAUACGUGAUUUUCAGGAGAUUCUACGCUACUUUGAUGAACUUAUAUGAGCAUUUUUCCCCCAAAGGAGUCGCUAUGGAGGUGCCUUACAAACUUUCCUUAGGCAUCAAUGGAACAAUGGCUGACCUAGCUGCUCUUGCUUCUUCCCCUUGAGCUAUAGAAUCACGUUGCCACUUUAAGUGCAAAUAAUGUUGGUUGCUUUUCGAGGAAGAUCUUCAGGCAUCUUAAUUAACAUCGAACUCCGACCCUGUGAAAAUUACGCCUUUGCUGGAUCCAUUUCCUCUUAGUGUGAUUUUGCAAUUUGUAAGUGUUCAUUCGGUUCGCAGUGUGAUAUAUUUUGAAGUGUGUUUCUUAUUGUUUUUUUCUGCGAUCAUUUGCACAUUGGAUUAUAUAAAAAUUACUUUUCAUAGGUAUUGAAGUGUCAUCCUGCUUUUACUUAUGUGGUGGAGAAAGAUUCCUAGAAUUGUACCUUUACUUUCAUACUCUGGUUAGAAGUUGAUGACAUGGUACUAACAUAGACCUCUCUGUAAUUCAGGUACCACCUGUCAUAGUGUUCUGUUCUGCCUCUUCAGGACUCGCAUGUAAUUUAGUUAGUGGUUGUUUAGCAUGAUUUAUAUAUUCUUACAGAGUCGUUUGGUAUCGGUUCAAGGUUGA
Long non-coding RNA from Arachis duranensis, 2219 nucleotides. RefSeq lists it as uncharacterized. Lineage: Eukaryota; Viridiplantae; Streptophyta; Magnoliopsida; Fabales; Fabaceae. The transcript has 3 exons. The record is from RefSeq and is a predicted model, not a curated record.